AUUGAACGCUGGCGGCGUGCCUAACACAUGCAAGUCGAGCGGUAACAGGUGUAGCAAUACAUGCUGACGAGCGGCGGACGGGUGAGUAACGCUUGGGAAUCUGCCUAUUAGUGGGGGACAACCCGGGGGAAACUCGGGCUAAUACCGCAUACGCUCUACGGAGGAAAGCCGGGGACCGCAAGGCCUGGCGCUAAUAGAUGAGCCCAAGUCGGAUUAGCUAGUUGGUAGGGUAAUGGCCUACCAAGGCGACGAUCCGUAACUGGUCUGAGAGGACGACCAGUCACACCGGAACUGAGACACGGUCCGGACUCCUACGGGAGGCAGCAGUGGGGAAUAUUGGACAAUGGGCGAAAGCCUGAUCCAGCGACGCCGCGUGGGUGAAGAAGGCCUGCGGGUUGUAAAGCCCUUUCAGUGGGGAAGAAAAGCCNCGACCUAACACGUCGGGGUCUUGACGUAACCCAUAGAAGAAGCACCGGCUAACUCUGU
This 486-nucleotide ribosomal RNA is filed under the name uncultured bacterium. Its description in RNAcentral is "bacterial SSU rRNA". It matches the Rfam family "Bacterial small subunit ribosomal RNA", at positions 29 to 506 of the family's 1533-position model. The record is from RNAcentral.